CGCCAAUCUGCGCACGGCAACUUGGAGGCUCAAACCACCAACGAUCGCAAUGCUGCGUCGCGAGCCAGGCCGGUCUCCGCGGUAACCGGUUUGCCGCUGAGGACUCUGGGAGUUGUAGUUGGGAGGAAGCCGGCUGCGCUCCAGGACGGCCGAGCCGCUGCUCGUUAGCGUUGGCCUCUGCAGGCCACAGGCGGGCUCCGCGGACAGGGCGAGCAGUCCGACUCGCCCUUCAGACGCACAGAUAAGGACAAGGCACGGGGUAGAGGGAGGACGUUCUGAAGAUGUGCAUGGAACGGAUGAAUGAAUGAAUAAGUCAGCCACUGGCAGCAUCUGGAUGUGUGGGCAGGAGUCACAAUGCAGAGGGCACAGGAGGCCUCAUGCCCAUCACAGGCCACCAGAGCACAUGAAGAUGCUGGGGCCAGGAUACCCCUUGGGGUAAAGGCAAGAAACUGACCCAGACUUGACCGAGGGAAGAAGGAAGAGAAAGAUGAUGCAAACUUGGGAGCCCUAUGGAAAAGGAAAAUUCGAGAGCUGCAGAGCCUGACUCUUGCCUCCUUCUGCACAGGAUCGGCACCUCUGCCGGUAGUCCCCAAGCAUCACACAUGCAGGACUGCCUGUUCUGGACACACUGUCCCCUAGGAAUCUGCAUUCCUCACAGCCAGAAUCUUCCUCCUCUCCAUUCCUGCCGCUAAAAGUCUUAAGUGCUGACAAGGCCGUUUCCUGCAUUCGCUGCCUUCGUCACAGCCCUGUCGGGUGAACAUCUGAAGUCACGAGUGCUCUGAGCCCCACACACACCAUGUCCUCAGCCCCCUCCCUGGUCUCCCUGUCAGAGAUGGGGGCGCCCCCGGAGCUUCGUCAUCUGUGACAAUCGUCCGCCCGCUCUCCAGCCGGAACCUCAGCGAUGAAUAAGGGCUGAUUUCUCCUCAAACGAUCACCACCCCCAAUUCAUCACAUUCAAAGGACUAUGCACCUCAUGCCGUACAUUGGGAUGUACACGAGGGCCUGUGACAUUUAAGCUCCUUGCAGAGGAACUGCAUUGGGUCAUUUGGAUUCUCCACAGCACCUCUGAGCACGACACACCCUGGGACGAGGCUGUCUCCACAGCUGUGGACACGGCAGACCAAGCAGAUGCUUCAGGGCAUUUGCCUUUGACGAAGAUGCAGCCUGCCUCUUUCUGGGAUGCUUGUCCCUCAUUCUCUUCAAGGUCACACAAGGAGAAAGGUGACCUUGUUCUUACUGUCACCCCUUUCUCCCCAGCCCCCACCCCCGGCAGGCCAGCCAGAGUAGCCCUGAAGCCCUAGAAG
Molecule: long non-coding RNA, 1304 nt
Filed under: Heterocephalus glaber (naked mole-rat)
Lineage: Eukaryota; Metazoa; Chordata; Mammalia; Rodentia; Bathyergidae
Description: lncRNA (ENSHGLG00000045556.1)
Source: RNAcentral